This is a non-coding RNA of Plectropomus leopardus (leopard coralgrouper), 379 nucleotides long. NCBI's taxonomy places the organism in Eukaryota, Metazoa, Chordata, Actinopteri, Perciformes, Serranidae. The record is from RefSeq and is a predicted model, not a curated record.
GCUACCCGGGCUCAGUCAUCCGAGAUCGCGAAGCGCGUCGGAGCCAGUGUCCGAGCCAAUCUACCCAUCAGGAGACAAGAGAGGGAGAGAGAGAAAGCAGUCUACUUCAGAUAUUACCCCCCUGCGUUUGGCCCCCAGCAGUGUGUGCCGAUGUGGAGCUGACACAGUGAGGGAGUCUGGACGCAUGAUGCCCAAGUUUCUAUAGAUCUCAAAGGAAUGCAGCAAGACACAUUAUUAAUGUCAAGCCUGGAAGACCCCUGCCACUUUGAUGUGUGAGCACACCCACCAAUAAUGGCCUAUAGGAUACACAGUGGAAAUACAGCUGAGGCAGACGUGUUCAUGUAUCCCGUUCAGGUCAACCUGCAGACUUUCUCCCACA